RNAcentral lists this ribosomal RNA (497 nucleotides) under uncultured bacterium. RNAcentral's name for it is "partial 16S ribosomal RNA". It matches the Rfam family "Bacterial small subunit ribosomal RNA", at positions 28 to 507 of the family's 1533-position model. The record is from RNAcentral.
GACGAACGCUGGCGGCGUGCCUAAUACAUGCAAGUAGAACGCUGAAGGAAGGAGCUUGCUCUUUCUGGAUGAGUUGCGAACGGGUGAGUAACGCGUAAGUAACCUGCCUGGUAGCGGGGGAUAACUAUUGGAAACGAUAGCUAAUACCGCAUAAAAUUGAUUAUCGCAUGAUAGUCAAUUAAAAGGUGCAACUGCACCACUACCAGAUGGACCUGCGUUGUAUUAGCUAGUUGGUGGGGUAACGGCUCACCAAGGCGACGAUACAUAGCCGACCUGAGAGGGUGAUCGGCCACACUGGGACUGAGACACGGCCCAGACUCCUACGGGAGGCAGCAGUAGGGAAUCUUCGGCAAUGGACGGAAGUCUGACCGAGCAACGCCGCGUGAGUGAAGAAGGGUUUCGGAUCGUAAAGCUCUGUUGUAAGAGAAGAACGAGUGUGAGAGUGGAAAGUUCACACUGUGACGGUAUCUUACCAGAAAGGGACGGCUAACUACGUG